Non-coding RNA from Podarcis lilfordi (Lilford's wall lizard), 82 nucleotides. Lineage: Eukaryota; Metazoa; Chordata; Lepidosauria; Squamata; Lacertidae. The record is from the annotation of a GenBank genome assembly.
GCUGCUGUGAUAGCUCAGUUGGUUAGAGUAUGGCGCUGAUAAGUCAAGCUUGCAGGUUUGUUCCCUGUAUGGACCAGCUGCA